Molecule: long non-coding RNA, 541 nt
Organism: Cryptomeria japonica (Japanese cedar)
Lineage: Eukaryota; Viridiplantae; Streptophyta; Pinopsida; Cupressales; Cupressaceae
Exons: 2
Source: RefSeq, a predicted model, not a curated record
UGAAUUAGUUGGUAGGAAAGAGGAUCUUGACUGGCAAAGGUGAACGGUGGAGGUACUGUAGCUAAGUGUUAUUCACCAAUUUGGCUGGUGAAGGUUUUAUCUCUACAAGGUUCCAUUCUCGCCAGUUGGUACCAGCUUGCUAGGAUAGUUCAUCGUGAGUAAUGAGAGCUUAUCAUGAACACCGAGAAGCUUAUGCUUCGUUUGAUUGGGCUGAUAAAAUGCCUGGGUCAUAUGUCUGUCAUCCGGUUUCCACCUAGAUGAUACAUCCAAAGACAAAGAAUUAGAGAUUCCAGAUAAAUUUUAUGUAAUUAUUAUAUGAUGCAUAUUUUAUCUUAUUGUAAAGACCAUAAUGGUCAAAUGUAAAAGUUAUGUAAAAGACUUACGAGGUCCAUGAUGUAAUGUGACAAAAAAUCACCAUGCAAUGUAACUAACAAAAAGAAAACAAAAAAAACUACUAACAUACUAACCCACUAACAUGCAUUGAUUUACUUUCCGCAUGCAUGCAUGUUCGUAUUUAAUUUUUAGUUAGUUAAUUUAAUUA